RNAcentral lists this ribosomal RNA (242 nucleotides) under Calcidiscus leptoporus. RNAcentral describes it as "partial Bacterial large subunit ribosomal RNA". It matches the Rfam family "Bacterial large subunit ribosomal RNA", at positions 607 to 851 of the family's 2925-position model. The record is from RNAcentral. Lineage: Eukaryota; Haptophyta; Coccolithales; Calcidiscaceae.
UUUGUAUAAUGGGUCAGCGACUUACUUUCAGUAGCAAGCUUAACCAAUAGGGAAGGCGUAGGGAAACCGAGUCUUAAUAGGGCGAAUUAGUUGCUGGGAGUAGACCCGAAACCGGGCGAUCUAUCCAUGGCCAGGUUGAAGGUGGGGUAAUACCUACUGGAGGACCGAACCCACUUAUGUUGAAAAAUGAGGGGAUGAGCUGUGGAUAGGAGUGAAAGGCUAACCAAGCCCGGAGAUAGCUG